This 253-nucleotide ribosomal RNA is filed under the name uncultured bacterium. Its description in RNAcentral is "partial 16S ribosomal RNA". It matches the Rfam family "Bacterial small subunit ribosomal RNA", at positions 524 to 776 of the family's 1533-position model. The record is from RNAcentral.
UACGGAGGGGGCUAGCGUUGCUCGGAAUCACUGGGCGUAAAGCGCACGUAGGCGGGUCCUUAAGUCCGGGGUGAAAUCCCGGAGCUCAACUCCGGAACUGCCUUUGAUACUGGGGAUCUUGAGUCCGGAAGAGGUGAGUGGAACUCCGAGUGUAGAGGUGAAAUUCGUAGAUAUUCGGAAGAACACCAGUGGCGAAGGCGGCUCACUGGUCCGGUACUGACGCUGAGGUGCGAAAGCGUGGGGAGCAAACAGG